This 560-nucleotide ribosomal RNA is filed under the name uncultured fungus. RNAcentral describes it as "eukaryotic LSU rRNA". The stretch from base 24 to 176 matches the Rfam family "5.8S ribosomal RNA". Lineage: Eukaryota; Fungi. The record is from RNAcentral.
AAUGUGUAUUGAAAAUUAUAUACAACUUUAGACAAUGGAUCUCUUGGCUCACGCAUCGAUGAAGAACGUAGCGAAUUGCGAUAAUUAUUGUGAAUUGCAGAUUUAGUGAAUCAUCGAGUCUUUGAACGCACAUUGCACCCUCUGGUAUUCCGGAGGGUAUGCUUGUUUGAGAACCGUUACAUCUCUCACGAACUGGACCUGAUUUCGGUCAGGAAAAGCAAGUGGAUUUGGCCAUUCCCUGAAAAAUCCUUUAUUGGAAUGAAUGGGUUGUGCUGAAAUUCAGUGAUCGGAGCUUGCGUGCUUAAAGGGUUUUCUCUCUAACAGUACCGUACUCUUUGAUAACCGACAUAGAUUAAUUGGGUACUUGUACCUUUUCUCAGUGUCCGGAAAAUCGAGUCGCGAAAACUGAAAGAAUUCAUUCCAAACCUUUUCGCUAUGCCUAUAAGGUAACCGCGAGUAUACGGCUCAUACCUAAACAUGCCAGGCGAUCUAUACACCGAUUCUUUUGUCCCCGUACUUGCUUGCGAGUGGUUGGACAGUUACUAUCGACGCAAUAGGUU